Molecule: non-coding RNA, 31 nt
Filed under: Rattus norvegicus (Norway rat)
Lineage: Eukaryota; Metazoa; Chordata; Mammalia; Rodentia; Muridae
Source: RNAcentral
AACUGCCUUGCGUUCUAGUGGACCUGGGUUC